UACGUAGGUGGCGAGCGUUGUCCGGAUUUACUGGGCGUAAAGGGAGCGUAGGCGGACUUUUAAGUGAGAUGUGAAAUACCCGGGCUCAACUUGGGUGCUGCAUUUCAAACUGGAAGUCUAGAGUGCAGGAGAGGAGAAUGGAAUUCCUAGUGUAGCGGUGAAAUGCGUAGAGAUUAGGAAGAACACCAGUGGCGAAGGCGAUUCUCUGGACUGUAACUGACGCUGAGGCUCGAAAGCGUGGGGAGCAAACAGGAUUAGAUAUCCCCGUA
RNAcentral lists this ribosomal RNA (269 nucleotides) under uncultured prokaryote. RNAcentral describes it as "partial 16S ribosomal RNA". It matches the Rfam family "Bacterial small subunit ribosomal RNA", at positions 524 to 792 of the family's 1533-position model. The record is from RNAcentral.